GUUGUGGCUCAGAGGUAGAGCACUUGCCUAGCAUAUGAGAGGCACUGGGUUCGAUUUUCAGCACCACA
RNAcentral lists this transfer RNA (68 nucleotides) under Marmota monax (woodchuck). Its description in RNAcentral is "tRNA.Ala". Lineage: Eukaryota; Metazoa; Chordata; Mammalia; Rodentia; Sciuridae. The record is from RNAcentral.